CCUACGGGAGGCAGCAGUGGGGGAUAUUGCACAAUGGGGGGAACCCUGAUGCCGCGACGCCGCGUGGGUGAAGGAGCGUUUCGGCGCGUAAAGCCCUAUCGGCCGGGAAGAAGGAGGACGGUACCUGCAUAGGAAGCCCCGGCUAACUCCGUGCCAGGAGCCGCGGUAAUACGGAGGGUGCGAGCGUUAUCCGGAAUUACUGGGCGUAAAGCGCGCGCAGGCGGUAGGGCAAGCCAAGCGUGAAAGCCCCGGGCUCAACGUAGGUACUGCCGUUGGAACUGGGCCACUGGAGUGCAGGAGGGGAAGGUGGAAUUCCAGGUGUAGCGGGGAAAUGCGUAGAUAUCUGGAGGAACACCGGUGGCGAAGGCGACCAGCUGGCACGUGACUGACGCUGAGGAGCGAAAGCGUGGGGAGCAAACAGGAUUAGAUACCCGGGUAGUC
RNAcentral lists this ribosomal RNA (441 nucleotides) under uncultured bacterium. RNAcentral's name for it is "partial 16S ribosomal RNA". It matches the Rfam family "Bacterial small subunit ribosomal RNA", at positions 338 to 795 of the family's 1533-position model. The record is from RNAcentral.